This 206-nucleotide unclassified non-coding RNA is filed under the name Hevea brasiliensis (rubber tree). The record is from RNAcentral. Lineage: Eukaryota; Viridiplantae; Streptophyta; Magnoliopsida; Malpighiales; Euphorbiaceae.
GGGGAAUCAUCGGCAGAGGCAGGUAAUGUGUCCAUUUGAUUAAGUUGCAGGAUUCUGUCCUACUUGCUUACUUGUUAUAGUAAAUAUGUUUUACAGAUCGAGAGCACUUGAAUUUACUUUAUUUAAAAACUUAGUAGCACUCGUUGAUUUCAUAUUUGGUCUUUGAGGCUAGGGAAACCUUUGAUUGGGAAAAUUGUUUAUCCGUG